GGACUACGUCGUGCGGCGCACUCACUACUUCCGGAAGCCCAACAUUUGGAGAAAAUAGGCCCUGCUAUUACUGCCCUGGCUAGGACGUUUCGGGCCGAUUGAGGCACGGGCGUGGGGGCCCUUAUU
Molecule: ribosomal RNA, 126 nt
Filed under: uncultured bacterium
Lineage: Bacteria
Description: partial 16S ribosomal RNA
Source: RNAcentral